Molecule: long non-coding RNA, 670 nt
Filed under: Equus caballus (horse)
Lineage: Eukaryota; Metazoa; Chordata; Mammalia; Perissodactyla; Equidae
Description: lncRNA (ENSECAG00000056333.1)
Source: RNAcentral
CGCCCUGCAGGGGAGUUACGGGAUGGGUGAGGCCGCCUGGGGCGCAGCUGGCGCCUCCGUGGGACGCGAGAACACGCGCUGUCAUCACAUCUCAGAUGAGGUCGUCCCCGGGUUUCCUGCUGGGACGUCCGCUCGUGCCUCCAGGUUUUCAGCGGCUGGAGUGAGUUUCACUCCCAAGGCUUUCUGGAGAGGGAGCAUGGUAGAAAGGAAGGAAGCUUUGUUGUCACAGAGAGAAGCAGAACUGCUGGAUCGAAGAGCAAGUAUUUUCUUUCCAGUGGUUGUACCAAAUUUCCCUUCAAAUGCUCGUGUGUAAUUUUGGACGAUGACGAAUAAGGCUGCUGUGAACAUUCUGGAACAUGUCUUUUGGUGCACACGGAGAGGAAAUGCUAGGCCCUCGGGCAAGCACGUGUUCAUCUUCAGUCAUGUACUUAGUACUUUCGGACGGUUUAGUCCUUCUUGUGCUGAUGCUGUGGGUGCCACACAGAUCCUCCCUCCACGACCAAACACUGGUUCCCCACCUGUCAGGACGUUGGCUGCUGAUGGCUCUCAGCUGAGACCCCUCCCCAGGCACUGCACUCAGCUGAAGGGAGCUGCCUGGCCAGACAAUGUACCCUUAGCCUGGUGGCAGCCCAGAUGCAAUGACUGAUGGAUGUGAGGAUAGAAAAGUCCG